CUUGAAUUAUCAAUAGGAUAUCGGAGUAAAAAUCUUGUUCCAUUUGGAUUUGGCUUCUACUUGUUAAUUUGUUGGGUUUUACAUAACUCAAUCCAUAAAUGCGGGGAAGUGCUAAAACUUUAUCCCACAUCGAAUUACUAAGUGGCAUGCAAGUAAAUAUAUGUGUUCUCUCACACAACCAACACAUUUUUCUUAGCCUAAGAACCAAUAGUGAUGGCUAAAAAAAAUACAAAGUCAUGUGUGUUGUUGAUCUAAAACGAAUAAUAUUUGACUUGUGGUGUUUCAAACCAAUUUUUCCAACAUACUAUAUUACGACGACUAAAAUGGCAUUUAGUAGCAUAUGGCGGCCCCAAUACCAAGCCAUAACAAUACAAACCCGCCGUACAUCACAUACUGUAGACUUGGUGACUUACCAACAAAAACUGUAGAUAUGGUGGCCAGCUUUCCAGGUAUUGGCUUCAGAAACAACAUGACACACACAAUAGAAU
Molecule: long non-coding RNA, 488 nt
Organism: Tripterygium wilfordii
Lineage: Eukaryota; Viridiplantae; Streptophyta; Magnoliopsida; Celastrales; Celastraceae
Exons: 2
Source: RefSeq, a predicted model, not a curated record